GCGGGCAGGAGCCGGGGUGCGGGCAGGGCCGCCGCUCUCCCGGCUUCCCGCCUAGUGAGCGCACCUUGGACCCCUGCGGCUUUUCCGAGCCGAAACUCACGGGCUGUGGCCGGCUUCGUUUCGCGUUGUGCAGCUCCGCGACCGCCCGUGGCCACACCAGUCGGAGACUUCGUGCUUUACGAUGGGGGCGCAGCGGUCUGGCACGCGCAGGACCCCGGGCCUUGCACCCCAACGCUGGCCGCCCUGGACCCGCGGCGGGGACCCGCGCAGUCAGGGUACUUGCCCAUACCGAUGGGGUGGGGACCAGCACGGAGCCUUUCCUUCGCCCUGCGGCUUCUGUUCCUUUCAGGACGGACAGCGCCCACCCGGAGGAAAGCCUGACAGACGAGACUUCGCAAGAUGAGAACUCCCUUCGCUCCGCAGGCAGCGGAGGCAGCUGCAGGGCGCUGACCUUCCCUGCCUCAUUGCCUCCCCUCCUCCGCCAGAUGCGCUCUGGGGGGCCCUCCCGAUGGCUGCGGGGAGAUCAGGGCUGGACAAAGGGAAUCCAACGGGGAAGUAGGUGGCACCGACGGGGGAGGGGAAGGCGGGACGCACCCCAAGACCCCGGUCCCUCAUUCCCAUCCCUGCAUAGAUCACCCAGCAACCAGGACACCCCUCCAGGGCCAGUACUACAGCCAGGGACUGUGUAUGCAGACGUGGCCCGGCCUGGCGGGCCUGCCCUGACUGGAAAGGAGGUCAAGCCGUGCACCUAAGGCUGGGCUGGCACCUCCGCUGAGCCAGCUCUGGGUCUGCAGGGGUGGGGAGGGGUCUCUGGCAACUGGACCCUGAGCUCCUGCAACCCCUUCCUGUGCUCUCCUUGCCUGGGGGAAGAGUGAGGAGAGGCUGGCUAUUCUGCUCACGGUGUCCUUGGUCCCUGACCUCUGGAUGGCCAUGUCUCCGCCCACCACGGAGUCCCCCCACCAGCCUCACGAACUCAUGGUCAUCUUGAAAAACCCAGGGCAGUGGUCAGGCCCCCACAGGAUCUCAGGGGCUCUGCCAGAGCCCAGGCCCAGUGGUCAGGCCCCCACCAACUGCGGUCACGGUGCACCUCCGUCCCGGGCAUGGAGGGCCCUGACGCCCUACACCAGCCUGUUGGGCCGCUGGCAGGGUCUGCUGAGGCCUCUGCGCCUGUCGCAGAGAGGUUGGGGGCAGAGACCUUGGGAGAGGC
Molecule: long non-coding RNA, 1207 nt
Organism: Nomascus leucogenys (northern white-cheeked gibbon)
Lineage: Eukaryota; Metazoa; Chordata; Mammalia; Primates; Hylobatidae
Exons: 3
Source: RefSeq, a predicted model, not a curated record